Molecule: ribosomal RNA, 842 nt
Filed under: Fuscoporia callimorpha
Lineage: Eukaryota; Fungi; Basidiomycota; Agaricomycetes; Hymenochaetales; Hymenochaetaceae
Description: partial large subunit ribosomal RNA
Source: RNAcentral
AACUGCGAGUGAAGCGGGAAAAGCUCAAAUUUAAAAUCUGGCGGUUUUGUCGCCCGAGUUGUAAUCUGGAGAAGCGUUUUCCGUGCCGGACCGUGUACAAGUCUCUUGGAACAGAGCGUCAUAGAGGGUGAGAAUCCCGUCCAUGACACGGACUCCCGGUGCUUUGUGAUACGCUCUCGAAGAGUCGAGUUGUUUGGGAAUGCAGCUCAAAAUGGGUGGUAAGCUCCAUCUAAAGCUAAAUAUUGGCGAGAGACCGAUAGCGAACAAGUACCGUGAGGGAAAGAUGAAAAGCACUUUGGAAAGAGAGUUAAACAGUACGUGAAAUUGUUGAAAGGGAAACGCUUGAAGUCAGUCGCGUCUUACUUGACUCAGCCUUGCUUCGGCUUGGUGUAUUUCAAGUAGGAUGGGUCAACAUCGAUUUUGACCGGUGGACAAGGGGUGAAGGAAUGUGGCACUCUUCGGAGUGUGUUAUAGCCUUUUCUCAUAUACAUCGGUUGGGAUUGAGGCCCGCAGCGCGCCCUUGUGGCCGGAGGUUCGCCUCACGUAACGCGCUUAGGAUGUUGGCAUAAUGGCUUUAAGCGACCCGUCUUGAAACACGGACCAAGGAGUCUAACAUGCUCGCGAGUGUUAGGGUGGAAAACCCUUGCGCGUAAUGAAAGUGAAAGUUGAGACCCUCCGCAAGGGGGUGCAUCGACGCCCGGCCCUGAAGUUUACUGACGGUGCUGCGGUAGAGCGCGYAUGUUGGGACCCGAAAGAUGGUGAACUAUGCCUGAAUAGGGCGAAGCCAGAGGAAACUCUGGUGGAGGCUCGUAGCGAUUCUGACGUGCAAAUCGAUCGUCAAA